This 100-nucleotide small nuclear RNA is filed under the name Choloepus hoffmanni (Hoffmann's two-fingered sloth). Lineage: Eukaryota; Metazoa; Chordata; Mammalia; Pilosa; Megalonychidae. The record is from RNAcentral.
UUGCUUUGGCAGCAUAUCUACUAAAAUUGGAAUGAUACAGAGAUUAGCAUGUCCCCUGUGCAAAGAUGACACACAAAUUCAUGAGAUGUUCCAUAUGUUU